CUUUUUAAUUUUGGCCCCAAAAAUUUUCACUACUUUUUAGUUUCCCACCAAAAUUUGACCCCAUUACAUUUCAGCAAAAUAGUUUUGCUUCCCCCAAAAUUAGACCCCAUUACAUUUCAGCAAAGUAGCUUUACUUUCCCCAAAAUUAGACUCUUCUAAGCUUCGACUCACUCAGUUAAUUUCUCAAUGAUUUCAGCAAAGUAGCAAGCCGUUCACUUCGACUCCGUUGUCAUCUUCACUAAGAGGUUUAGUUUUUCUCUAUUAACCAAAACUUACAGUGAAUAACUUUUGGAUCUUCAUAUUGGGUCCUUCAAUUCUUGCCCAAAUUUGUCUCUGAUUUCCUAUAAAACUUCAACAACCUCCAUUUUCAAUCAAGGAUCAAGAUGAGAAGGCAAAGAGGAGUUCUUUCUUCAAGGUUUGCAUUUUAUAGAGCUUCUUACUUCUUUUUGCUGAUUUGUUGGACUUGAUGAAGAGACUUUGGCGCGAUCACUCAUAAUAAUUAUUUUGGUAAGUGAUCUGAGGCUAAAACAGAGCAGGUGAUGUAAGAGACUAGAGCAUCGUUCUCUAACAAUGCAUAGAGGAGGAGAUUUCAAGUUUGAGCAAACAGAGAGAAGGUCGGUUACAUUAUGUGGAGGAGCGAUUUAUGCGUGCAUGAUUAGUAAGAUGGCAUUAUCAUUCCUUCUUCGAUUCUCGUCCCUUCGAUACAGACUCUUCGGAUGCUUUACGGAUUUGCAAUUUUUAAAUUGAUUUGUAAUAUGUUUCAUAGUAUGAAAGUUACAUUUUUGUUAUUGUUAAUUAUUUUAGCUAACUUGAUGUCAUUUUAUAUUAAUGUGAAAGGUGACAAAUAAAAUUUUUGAUGAAAAA
Molecule: long non-coding RNA, 864 nt
Organism: Lycium barbarum (goji berry)
Lineage: Eukaryota; Viridiplantae; Streptophyta; Magnoliopsida; Solanales; Solanaceae
Exons: 3
Source: RefSeq, a predicted model, not a curated record